This 430-nucleotide ribosomal RNA is filed under the name Bacteroidota bacterium. RNAcentral describes it as "Bacteroidetes bacterium partial 16S ribosomal RNA". It matches the Rfam family "Bacterial small subunit ribosomal RNA", at positions 355 to 776 of the family's 1533-position model. Lineage: Bacteria; Pseudomonadati; Bacteroidota. The record is from RNAcentral.
UAGGGAAUCUUCGGCAAUGGGGGGAACCCUGACCGAGCAACGCCGCGUGAGUGAAGAAGGUUUUCGGAUCGUAAAGCUCUGUUGCUAAGGAAGAACGAGUGUGAGAAUGGAAAGUUCAUGCUGUGACGGUACUUAACCAGAAAGGGACGGCUAACUACGUGCCAGCAGCCGCGGUAAUACGUAGGUCCCGAGCGUUGUCCGGAUUUAUUGGGCGUAAAGCGAGCGCAGGCGGUCAAUUAAGUCUGAUGUGAAAGCCCCCGGCUCAACCGGGGAGGGUCAUUGGAAACUGGUUGGCUUGAGUGCAGAAGAGGAGAGUGGAAUUCCAUGUGUAGCGGUGAAAUGCGUAGAUAUAUGGAGGAACACCAGUGGCGAAGGCGACUCUCUGGUCUGUAACUGACGCUGAGGUUCGAAAGCGUGGGUAGCAAACAGG